RNAcentral lists this ribosomal RNA (551 nucleotides) under uncultured Glomeromycotina. Its description in RNAcentral is "SSU rRNA". It matches the Rfam family "Eukaryotic small subunit ribosomal RNA", at positions 548 to 1098 of the family's 1831-position model. The record is from RNAcentral. Lineage: Eukaryota; Fungi; Glomeromycota.
UUGGAGGGCAAGUCUGGUGCCAGCAGCCGCGGUAAUUCCAGCUCCAAUAGCGUAUAUUAAAGUUGUUGCAGUUAAGAAGCUCGUAGUUGAAUUUCGGGAUCAAUACGUCGGUCGUGCUUUUUUGGUACGCACUGGCGUCAUUGGUUUCUCCUUUCUGACGAACCAUGAUGUCAUUAAUUUGGUGUUAUGGGGAGUUAGGACUGUUACUUUGAAAAAAUUAGAGUGUUUAAAGCAGGCAUUAGCUUGAAUACAUUAGCAUGGAAUAAUGAAAUAGGACGUUCGAUCCUAUUUUGUUGGUUUCUAGGAUCAACGUAAUGAUUAAUAGGGAUAGUUGGGGGCAUUAGUAUUCAAUUGUCAGAGGUGAAAUUCUUGGAUUUAUUGAAGACUAACUACUGCGAAAGCAUUUGCCAAGGAUGUUUUCAUUAAUCAAGAACGAAAGUUAGGGGAUCGAAGACGAUCAGAUACCGUCGUAGUCUUAACCAUAAACUAUGCCGACUAGGGAUCGGAUGAUGUUAAUUUUUUAAUGACUCAUUCGGCGCCUUACGGGAAAC